Molecule: transfer RNA, 72 nt
Organism: Ovis aries (sheep)
Lineage: Eukaryota; Metazoa; Chordata; Mammalia; Artiodactyla; Bovidae
Rfam family: tRNA
About the family: Transfer RNA (tRNA) molecules are approximately 80 nucleotides in length. Their secondary structure includes four short double-helical elements and three loops (D, anti-codon, and T loops). Further hydrogen bonds mediate the characteristic L-shaped molecular structure. tRNAs have two regions of fundamental functional importance: the anti-codon, which is responsible for specific mRNA codon recognition, and the 3' end, to which the tRNAs corresponding amino acid is attached (by aminoacyl-tRNA synthetases). tRNAs cope with the degeneracy of the genetic code in two manners: having more than one tRNA (with a specific anti-codon) for a particular amino acid; and 'wobble' base-pairing, i.e. permitting non-standard base-pairing at the 3rd anti-codon position.
Source: Rfam
UUCCUGGCAGUCCAGUGGUUAGGACUCAACACUUUUACUGCCAGGGCCCAGGUUUGAUCCCUGGUCAGGGAA